CGGGAAAGUUGCAAUGUUUAAAAUGCAAUCCUAAGUGUACAACAUAAUGUUGGGAAAUGCAACUUUUGUGAAGUGAGUGUGGAUGGUUGUCUGGAAGCUCAUCAGCCUAGUAUUCCCACUGUCGUAUUUUGGGUAUAAAGGGUUAUUGUUCUGAAGUAUUUGUGCGUUUUUCUGCCCCAGUAAUCUUUAUAUUUCUGUGUUUUCAUUUUUUGUUUUGAUCCUUGUGUUUUUGUGUUUUUUUAUUUAGAACAAAUGUAAAUCUGUGCACAUACAGUGGAAAAUUAGACAUUGAAUAAACUUUAAAAAGUUAAA
Silurus meridionalis is the source of this 312-nucleotide long non-coding RNA. RefSeq lists it as uncharacterized. The transcript is spliced from 3 exons. The record is from RefSeq and is a predicted model, not a curated record. NCBI's taxonomy places the organism in Eukaryota, Metazoa, Chordata, Actinopteri, Siluriformes, Siluridae.